Molecule: non-coding RNA, 93 nt
Rfam family: Glycine riboswitch aptamer
About the family: This family represents the bacterial glycine riboswitch. Glycine riboswitches usually consist of two metabolite-binding aptamers domains with similar structures in tandem. The aptamers cooperatively bind glycine to regulate the expression of downstream genes.
GUGUCGGAUAGGGGAGAAGCCGGGCCAGCGCGCCCGGUGCCGAAGGAGCAACCGCCCCGGUAAACUCUCAGGCGCAAGGGACCCGUCCGACGC